UACGAGGGGGGCAAGCGUUGUUCGGAAUUAUUGGGCGUAAAGGGUGCGUAGGCGGUUUGGUAAGUCUUAUGUGAAAUCUACAGGCUCAACUUGUAGUCUGCAUGAGAAACUGCCGGGCUUGAGUAUGGGAGAGGUGAGUGGAAUUCCUGGUGUAGCGGUGAAAUGCGUAGAUAUCAGGAGGAACACCUGUGGCGAAAGCGGCUCACUGGACCAUAACUGACGCUGAUGCACGAAAGCGUGGGGAGCAAACAGG
RNAcentral lists this ribosomal RNA (253 nucleotides) under uncultured bacterium. RNAcentral's name for it is "partial 16S ribosomal RNA". It matches the Rfam family "Bacterial small subunit ribosomal RNA", at positions 524 to 776 of the family's 1533-position model. The record is from RNAcentral.